UUUCCGUAGGUGAACCUGCGGAAGGAUCAUUACUGAGUGAGGGCCCUCUGGGUCCAACCUCCCACCCGUGUUUAUUGUACCCUGUUGCUUCGGUGCGCCCGCCUCACGGCCGCCGGGGGGCUUCUGCCCCCGGGUCCGCGCGCACCGGAGACACCAUUGAACUCUGUCUGAAGAUUGCAGUCUGAGCAUAAACUAAAUAAGUUAAAACUUUCAACAACGGAUCUCUUGGUUCCG
This 234-nucleotide unclassified non-coding RNA is filed under the name plant metagenome. Its description in RNAcentral is "partial contains small subunit ribosomal RNA, internal transcribed spacer 1, and 5.8S ribosomal RNA". The record is from RNAcentral.